AGGGGUUGCCAAGGAGGUAACAAAGGGUUAAGGUUUUUGUAAGAUACUGUUACAUUUCAACUCUACCCUGUAAGUUUUUUCCUUGGUCAGGGGACAGCGGAGCAGACGCAGGCUCUCACUGACAAGUUGGUGGGGGUGAGGUUUCUUGCAUUAGUACAUUGACGCGUACAUGUUUUUCUGUUGGCUACAUACAGGAGUUCUCUAAACGAUGCUGUUUUCCUGCAUAGUUUUCAAUCCAGUCUGCAUUGAAACCUGUCAUUCCCAACAAUGUCAUCAUUUCGCUGACUGUCCGUGGACUUGGAGCUUUGCUAACACCUUCCAGUUGAGAAGGUGAAAUGCUAACUCUUCCUUGAGGUAUUUGUCUUUCCUAGGUAAUCUACCUGUGGUUGACAGUACUGUAGUUUUGUUUGGAGACCUUGUGUCCUCCCUCUGCUAAUCUUUGCAGAACUUUGAUUGAGUCCUGAUGACAGUCAUUUAGUGUGUUUCCGCAGAUUAACAAAUCGUCCACAUUUCGUUAAUCCACAUUAAGAAAAACAAAAAAAAUUGAGAUGCAAUACGGGGUUAAUUUCUCUCGCGAAAGCGAGACUAAAAUCUUUUUACUUUUUGUUUUUUCAGAGGUCCUUUUGUCUCUCCUCGGGCGGGGGAGAGAGGGAGAGGAGGGGCAACGCUCCGGGAGGAGGGAGUGAAAAGCGUUGUGUGUGUGGCUCUCCUUGCCUGCGUAGAGCUGUAUGUGUGGUUCCUCUGCCUGAGGAGAACUUAGUGUGUGUGUGCAAGAUUUUCCUUCGGGCGGGGGAGAGAGCUACUUGGCAGUCUUUAACUAACAGGCUAAAAAUAACUCAGCCUGCCAGUGGUUCUGCCCCACUGACAGGCAAAAAAGGCAGACGGAGCCGUCUCCUUCCCCAAACAAAACAGUCUUACAAAUACAAAGUUUAAAUACCUGCACCCACAUCUUAACAACAUAACAGCUUCAAAAAGUAUACACACCUUGGUCCACCAAGAUUUCCUUACAACAAUAAAAGUUUCCAAGCACUUUUUAGCUCAUCAACCUAGACAACUUUACCUCUAACAGUGGGACUUGAAUACAAAAAACAAAAAAAAAAAAAACAAAACAAAAACAAAACAAAAGCAACCAUGCAGUUUCAUUCAUCCAUGCGUUUUAGUCAUCCAAUAAAGCUCUCAUCCUUUAUAAUCACACGUAGACGUCAACAACAAUCACACAUUCUUAAUCAUCACCUUUCAACAUUCCCACAUUCUCACGUUUUCCUUUCACUCUCACUCUCCCGGGAGACUUAUUGUUUUUCUUAAAGGUCCAAAUGUUCAAUGUUCCUGGAUUUUAACUGUGCGCACAGAAAAUUUAAAUCAGGUUUUUUAUGGGACCCAGAGCAAAAAAAAAAAAAAAA
Fundulus heteroclitus (mummichog) is the source of this 1400-nucleotide long non-coding RNA. RefSeq lists it as uncharacterized. Lineage: Eukaryota; Metazoa; Chordata; Actinopteri; Cyprinodontiformes; Fundulidae. The transcript has 2 exons. The record is from RefSeq and is a predicted model, not a curated record.